GUGCCAGCAGCCGCGGUAAGACGUAGGGUGCAAGCGUUGUCCGGAUUUACUGGGCGUAAAGAGCGCGUAGGCGGUCUGUUAAGUGUAGAGUGAAAUCUCCAGGGCUCAACCCGGAAACUGCUCUGCAUACUGGCAGACUGGAGGGACUGAGAGGUGAAUGGAAUUCCUGGUGUAGCGGUGAAAUGCGUAGAUAUCAGGAGGAACACCCAUGGCGAAGGCAGUUCACUGGCAGUCUCCUGACGCUGAGGCGCGAAAGCGUGGGUAGCAAACAGGAUUAGAUACCCCCGUAGUCC
Molecule: ribosomal RNA, 293 nt
Filed under: uncultured bacterium
Lineage: Bacteria
Description: partial 16S ribosomal RNA
Rfam family: Bacterial small subunit ribosomal RNA
Source: RNAcentral